UUAAACUGAAGAGUUUGAUCAUGGCUCAGAUUGAACGCUGGCGGCAGGCCUAACACAUGCAAGUCGAGCGGUAACAGGGGUAGCUUGCUACCCGCUGACGAGCGGCGGACGGGUGAGUAAUGCAUAGGAAUCUGCCCGAUAGUGGGGGAUAACCUGGGGAAACCCAGGCUAAUACCGCAUACGUCCUACGGGAGAAAGGGGGCUUCGGCUCCCGCUAUUGGAUGAGCCUAUGUCGGAUUAGCUAGUUGGUGAGGUAAUGGCUCACCAAGGCAACGAUCCGUAGCUGGUCUGAGAGGAUGAUCAGCCACAUCGGGACUGAGACACGGCCCGAACUCCUACGGGAGGCAGCAGUGGGGAAUAUUGGACAAUGGGCGAAAGCCUGAUCCAGCCAUGCCGCGUGUGUGAAGAAGGCCCUCGGGUUGUAAAGCACUUUCAGCGAGGAAGAACGCCUAGU
This is a ribosomal RNA of 454 nucleotides. It matches the Rfam family "Bacterial small subunit ribosomal RNA", at positions 1 to 457 of the family's 1533-position model.